RNAcentral lists this ribosomal RNA (1020 nucleotides) under Enterococcus faecium. RNAcentral describes it as "bacterial SSU rRNA". It matches the Rfam family "Bacterial small subunit ribosomal RNA", at positions 440 to 1454 of the family's 1533-position model. Lineage: Bacteria; Bacillati; Bacillota; Bacilli; Lactobacillales; Enterococcaceae. The record is from RNAcentral.
UAAAGAAGAACAGGAUGAGGGUAACUGUUCAUCCCUUGACUGUAUCUAACCAGAAAGCCAGGGCUAACUACGUGCCAGCAGCCGCGGUAAUAAGUAGGUGGCAAGCGUUGUCCUGAUUUAUUGGGCGUAAAGCGAGCGCAGGCGGUUUCUUAAGUCUGAUGUGACAGCCCCCGGCUCAACCGGGGAGUGUCAUUGGAAACUGGGAGACUUGAGUGCAGAAGAGGAGAGUGGAAUUCCAUGUGUAGCGGUGAAAUGCGUAGAUAUAUGGAGGAACACCAGUGGCGAAGGCGGCUCUCUGGUCUGUAACUGACGCUGAGGCUCGAAAGCGUGGGGAGCAAACAGGAUUAGAUACCCUGGUAGUCCACGCCGUAAACGAUGAGUGCUAAGUGUUGGAGGGUUUCCGCCCUUCAGUGCUGCAGCUAACGCAUUAAGCACUCCGCCUGGGGAGUACGACCGCAAGGUUGAAACUCAAAGGAAUUGACGGGGGCCCGCACAAGCGGUGGAGCAUGUGGUUUAAUUCGAAGCAACGCGAAGAACCUUACCAGGUCUUGACAUCCUUUGACCACUCUAGAGAUAGAGCUUCCCCUUCGGGGGCAAAGUGACAGGUGGUGCAUGGUUGUCGUCAGCUCGUGUCGUGAGAUGUUGGGUUAAGUCCCGCAACGAGCGCAACCCUUAUUGUUAGUUGCCAUCAUUCAGUUGGGCACUCUAGCAAGACUGCCGGUGACAAACCGGAGGAAGGUGGGGAUGACGUCAAAUCAUCAUGCCCCUUAUGACCUGGGCUACACACGUGCUACAAUGGGAAGUACAACGAGUUGCGAAGUCGCGAGGCUAAGCUAAUCUCUUAAAGCUUCUCUCAGUUCGGAUUGCAGGCUGCAACUCGCCUGCAUGAAGCCGGAAUCGCUAGUAAUCGCGGAUCAGCACGCCGCGGUGAAUACGUUCCCGGGCCUUGUACACACCGCCCGUCACACCACGAGAGUUUGUAACACCCGAAGUCGGUGAGGUAACCUUUUGGAGCCAGCC